CAUUGACUGGUUGUGCACAUAAAGAAUUCUUCCGUCAAUGUUGUAAUAGCACUGAAUUGCCUUACUUCGUUCUUGUCUCUAGUUUCGAAGGUUUCGGGAGGCAAGAACAAUGGGAUUGAAGGUGAUUCUGGCUGCAAAACCGGACAGGUUUGAUGAUUUAGGAAAAACCAGCUGUAUGGUGAGCCUACAGAUGAGGUCUCUUAGGAAAGACUAAUGGUUCACCCCGGCGUCGGGUGUGCACGUAAUAAAUUGUACCUGGCGUCGGGGUUAAAAUAAAUGUACAGAACACGGCUUUUGCAUUUUUUAACAACUAUUAAACAAGUAUUACAAGAUUUAAGUACAAACAACUGAAAUCACUCAACCGUUUGAGUAUGCUAUAGGCAUAUGCAUGAUUGAAUUAUUUAUUAUGUUUUACAUUGUUUACUCUCAGUGUUUUAUACAAUAAAUCAUAAAUGUUUAUACCAUUUUGUAACAUUUUAAUGAAAAAUAAACAAUAAUAACCACAAAA
Mercenaria mercenaria is the source of this 508-nucleotide long non-coding RNA. RefSeq lists it as uncharacterized. The transcript has 2 exons. NCBI's taxonomy places the organism in Eukaryota, Metazoa, Mollusca, Bivalvia, Venerida, Veneridae. The record is from RefSeq and is a predicted model, not a curated record.